RNAcentral lists this ribosomal RNA (497 nucleotides) under uncultured bacterium. RNAcentral's name for it is "partial 16S ribosomal RNA". It matches the Rfam family "Bacterial small subunit ribosomal RNA", at positions 28 to 507 of the family's 1533-position model. The record is from RNAcentral.
GAUGAACGCUGGCGGCGUGCCUAAUACAUGCAAGUCGAGCGAACAGAUGAGGAGCUUGCUCCUCUGACGUUAGCGGCGGACGGGUGAGUAACACGUGGAUAACCUACCUAUAAGACUGGGAUAACUUCGGGACACCGGAGCUAAUAGCGGAUAAUAUAUUGAACCGCAUGGUUCAAUAGUGAAAGACGGUUUUGCUGUCACUUAUAGAUGGAUCUGCGCCGUAUUAGCUAGUUGGUAAGGUAACGGCGUACCACGGCAACGAGGCGUAGCCGAACGGAGAGGCUGGUCGGCGACAUGAGAACGGAGACACGCUCCAGACGCCUACGGGAGGCAGCAGUAGGGAAUCUUCCGCAAUGGGCGGAAGCCUGACGGAGCAAGGCCGCGUGAGUGACGACGGCCUUCGGAGCGGAAAACUCUGUUACUGGGGAAGAACAAAUGUGUAAGGAACCAUGCCCGUAGUGACGGUACCUAAUCAGAAAGCCACGGCUAACUACGUG